GGGGUCAUAGCUCAGCUGGGAGAGCGCUAGUAUCGCACACUAGAGGUCUGGGGUUCGAUCCCCCAUGACUCCACCA
This 76-nucleotide transfer RNA is filed under the name Kofleriaceae bacterium. RNAcentral's name for it is "tRNA-Ala". It matches the Rfam family "tRNA". From Rfam's summary of the family: Transfer RNA (tRNA) molecules are approximately 80 nucleotides in length. Their secondary structure includes four short double-helical elements and three loops (D, anti-codon, and T loops). The record is from RNAcentral. Lineage: Bacteria; Pseudomonadati; Myxococcota; Haliangiales; Kofleriaceae.